UUCGAUUAGAGUUUGAUCAUGGCUCACAUUGAACGCUGGCGGCAUGCCUUACACAUGCAAGUCGAACGGCAGCAUGAUCUAGCUUGCUAGAUUGAUGGCGAGUGGCGAACGGGUGAGUAAUACAUCGGAACGUGCCCUGUAGUGGGGGAUAACUAGUCGAAAGAUUAGCUAAUACCGCAUACGACCUGAGGGUGAAAGUGGGGGACCGCAAGGCCUCAUGCUAUAGGAGCGGCCGAUGUCUGAUUAGCUAGUUGGUGGGGUAAAGGCCCACCAAGGCGACGAUCAGUAGCUGGUCUGAGAGGACGAUCAGCCACACUGGGACUGAGACACGGCCCAGACUCCUACGGGAGGCAGCAGUGGGGAAUUUUGGACAAUGGGGGCAACCCUGAUCCAGCAAUGCCGCGUGUGUGAAGAAGGCCUUCGGGUUGUAAAGCACUUUUGUCCGGAAAGAAAUCGCACUUACUAAUAUUAGGUGUGGAUGACGGUACCGGAAGAAUAAGGACCGGCUAACUACGUGCCAGCAGCCGCGGUAAUACGUAGGGUCCAAGCGUUAAUCGGAAUUACUGGGCGUAAAGCGUGCGCAGGCGGUUGUGCAAGACCGAUGUGAAAUCCCCGGGCUUAACCUGGGAAUUGCAUUGGUGACUGCACGGCUAGAGUGUGUCAGAGGGGGGUAGAAUUCCACGUGUAGCAGUGAAAUGCGUAGAGAUGUGGAGGAAUACCGAUGGCGAAGGCAGCCCCCUGGGAUAACACUGACGCUCAUGCACGAAAGCGUGGGGAGCAAACAGGAUUAGAUACCCUGGUAGUCCACGCCCUAAACGAUGUCAACUAGUUGUUGGGGAUUCAUUUCCUUAGUAACGUAGCUAACGCGUGAAGUUGACCGCCUGGGGAGUACGGUCGCAAGAUUAAAACUCAAAGGAAUUGACGGGGACCCGCACAAGCGGUGGAUGAUGUGGAUUAAUUCGAUGCAACGCGAAAAACCUUACCUACCCUUGACAUGCCACUAACGAAGCAGAGAUGCAUUAGGUGCUCGAAAGAGAAAGUGGACACAGGUGCUGCAUGGCUGUCGUCAGCUCGUGUCGUGAGAUGUUGGGUUAAGUCCCGCAACGAGCGCAACCCUUGUCUCUAGUUGCUACGAAAGGGCACUCUAGAGAGACUGCCGGUGGCAAACCGGAGGAAGGUGGGGAUGACGUCAAGUCCUCAUGGCCCUUAUGGGUAGGGCUUCACACGUCAUACAAUGGUGCAUACAGAGGGUUGCCAAGCCGCGAGGUGGAGCUAAUCCCAGAAAAUGCAUCGUAGUCCGGAUCGUAGUCUGCAACUCGACUACGUGAAGCUGGAAUCGCUAGUAAUCGCGGAUCAGCAUGCCGCGGUGAAUACGUUCCCAGGGUCUUGUAG
Molecule: ribosomal RNA, 1392 nt
Filed under: uncultured bacterium
Lineage: Bacteria
Description: bacterial SSU rRNA
Rfam family: Bacterial small subunit ribosomal RNA
Source: RNAcentral